Long non-coding RNA from Musca domestica (house fly), 619 nucleotides. RefSeq lists it as uncharacterized. The record is from RefSeq and is a predicted model, not a curated record. The transcript is spliced from 3 exons. NCBI's taxonomy places the organism in Eukaryota, Metazoa, Arthropoda, Insecta, Diptera, Muscidae.
GGGAAAAUGGAGAAUGCAUUACAUUGAUAAUGAAUAAUUUCUUGCAUUAUAUGAUUUACAUUACAGAAUUUGUCUAAAAUAUUCGAGAAAAGAAUGCAAUUUGAGCAAAAAAUGAUUAUAACAUUAUUGUUAUGGAAUGCAUUAUAUUAUUCAUCCCAAUAGAAGCGAAAUGGUAAUUUCAUUUGACGAAAUCUGCAAACUGAUUACCGUCUAUAUUCCAGAAUCUAUACAUGAUGGAAUGUGUAGUUUCAUAGUUUUUUUUCUUGUUUUUUUGUGUCCCGUUAUUUUCGGGCGACUUCAUGUCGCGUUAUUGUUGAAAUUUGUAAAUUUGUUUAGUUUCGUUUCAUUUGUGUGACAGUGAAGACGUAAGUUUAUAAAAUGUAUUGAAAGCGACAUUGGAGGCGUUUAAUAUUAAAAAAUUGGGGAAGACUUACCUUCGUUUAUACCUAUCAUGGAAAGAAUCUUGAUUCCUUCUGGAGUUGUAAAAAACUUAUGUAGAGUAGAAGAAUUAAUUAUGAACUAUAACUUUGAAGGAAUAAAAGGAAAAAUGGCUUUUAAGUCCUUUGAAAAUAUAAAUAAGUUAAUGUAUGAGGUGUCAAAGAGGGAAGGAUACGAUGAG